GCCAAUGUAGCAUAGUGGUUUGAGUUCUGGACUAUGAAUCUGGAGGCCAGGGUUCAAAUUCCUGCUUAGCCA
This is a non-coding RNA of Phrynosoma platyrhinos (Desert horned lizard), 72 nucleotides long. The record is from the annotation of a GenBank genome assembly. Lineage: Eukaryota; Metazoa; Chordata; Lepidosauria; Squamata; Phrynosomatidae.